AGUGAAACAGUCCACUAAUUGGGUGAAGAGAUUUGUCUGGUUAAUUCCUAUAACAAUCGAGACUCUAGCCUCCUAACUAGUACGCCAGUCCUCUAUUCCUGCGCUGGCGGCAUUUUGGCGAAACUGCUCUCUUCAGCUGACUACUUUCGGGCCGCGCAUUUCUCCGCGCGCGUGUGCUGCGAGCCCCUCCCGGGGUGCGUUGUGUGCGUGCGUGUGGAGAUGUAGACUAAGAUAGGAGGUUUGAACGGUGGGUUCAGCGCUAUCCUUCGGGUACGGUGCAGGUGUGUCUACUUCUUAGAGGGUCAAGCAUUACAAAUGUGCACGAAAUUGAGCAAGAAGAGGUCUGUGAUGCCCU
This 355-nucleotide non-coding RNA is filed under the name Schistocephalus solidus. RNAcentral's name for it is "Eukaryotic small subunit ribosomal RNA". It matches the Rfam family "Eukaryotic small subunit ribosomal RNA", at positions 1276 to 1473 of the family's 1831-position model. The record is from Rfam by way of RNAcentral. Lineage: Eukaryota; Metazoa; Platyhelminthes; Cestoda; Diphyllobothriidea; Diphyllobothriidae.